AAUAGAAUUGUUUGGUCAAAUGGUAACUCUGUGUUUAACAUUUUAAAGACCUGCUAGAAUAUUUUCCAAAGUGGUUGCACCAUUUUAUAUUCCUACCAGCAGU
Molecule: microRNA precursor, 103 nt
Filed under: Marmota monax (woodchuck)
Lineage: Eukaryota; Metazoa; Chordata; Mammalia; Rodentia; Sciuridae
Source: RNAcentral